Molecule: long non-coding RNA, 533 nt
Filed under: Androctonus crassicauda
Lineage: Eukaryota; Metazoa; Arthropoda; Arachnida; Scorpiones; Buthidae
Source: RNAcentral
GGGGUCUUCCCUAUUUGUCUUUCUUCUCUCUUUCAUUCUCUUUGUGUAUUUCCAUGCCAAACUUAUUUGCGGCUGGUUGUGGUUAAUCACUUUUAUGCCCGAUUCGAGGAUGAAAGCAUCGAGGAUGAUCCAACCGACAGAAUAGCAAGAACACUAGAUAAUAUCAUAAAAGCGAAGAAAUGCCCAAAAUUUUUGAAGAACUGUAAGGUGAUAUCGCCAAAACCGCCACGAAUGUUCACCUUCAUAAAGACGCAUAAGACACCAGUUGAAAUUAGACCCGUGGUUGAAAGGAGGGAAGCCCCCACAUACUUGGUCGAAAAAGCACUAGCAAAAUGGGCCAGGGAGAGGCUAAAAGAAUAUCAAUGGUCUUUAACAUCAACUAUGCAAUUUAUAUACGCACUAUACGAGAAGGGUCCUAACCCGGAGGAGAACCUGGAGGUAUACAACUAUGAAGCGCUUUACCCAUCUAUUAAAUUGGAACCGGCCUGCAUACUAUUAUAUAGACUGUUAUUAGAAAACCUAGAAGAAGAAAC